GAUGAACGCUGGCGGCGUGCCUAAUACAUGCAAGUCGAGCGAAGCGGGGACGGGUGAGUACCACGUGGAUAACCUCCUAUACGACUGGGAUAACUUCGGGAAACCGGUGCUAAACCGGCUACUUAUAGGUGGAUCCGCGCUGCAUUAGCUAGUUGGUAAGGUAACGGCUUACCAAGGCCACGAUGCAUAGCCGACCUGAGAGGGUGAUCGGCCACACUGGAACUGAGACACGGUCCAGACUCCUACGGGAGGCAGCAGUAGGGAAUCUUCGGCAAUGGGCGAAAGUCUGACGGAGCAACGCCGCGUGAGUGAAGAAGGUCUUCGGAUCGUAAAACUCUGUUAUUAGGGAAGCGGUACCUAAUCAGAAAGCCACGGCUAACUACGUGCCAGCAGCCGCGGUAAUUC
This 405-nucleotide ribosomal RNA is filed under the name uncultured bacterium. RNAcentral describes it as "partial 16S ribosomal RNA". It matches the Rfam family "Bacterial small subunit ribosomal RNA", at positions 28 to 526 of the family's 1533-position model. The record is from RNAcentral.